UACGGAGGGUGCAAGCGUUAUCCGGAUUCACUGGGUUUAAAGGGUGCGUAGGCGGGCAGGUAAGUCAGUGGUGAAAUCUCCAAGCUUAACUUGGAAACUGCCGUUGAUACUAUCUGUCUUGAAUACCGUGGAGGUGAGCGGAAUAUGUCAUGUAGCGGUGAAAUGCUUAGAUAUGACAUAGAACACCAAUUGCGAAGGCAGCUCACUACACGAAUAUUGACACUGAGGCACGAAAGCGUGGGGAUCAAACAGG
RNAcentral lists this ribosomal RNA (253 nucleotides) under uncultured bacterium. RNAcentral's name for it is "partial 16S ribosomal RNA". It matches the Rfam family "Bacterial small subunit ribosomal RNA", at positions 524 to 776 of the family's 1533-position model. The record is from RNAcentral.